This 957-nucleotide ribosomal RNA is filed under the name uncultured archaeon. RNAcentral describes it as "bacterial SSU rRNA". It matches the Rfam family "Archaeal small subunit ribosomal RNA", at positions 1 to 934 of the family's 1478-position model. The record is from RNAcentral.
UUUUCCGGUUGAUCCUGCCGGACCUCACUGCUAUCGGGGUGGGACUUAGACAUGCGAGUCGAACGCUUCGCAGCCAUGAGUGAAGCGUGGCGAACGGCUCAGUAACACGUGGCUAACCUACCCUUGAGACGGAGACAACCCCGGGAAACUGGGGCUAAUCCCAGAUAGACGAGAACUCCUGGAAUGGGUUUUCGUCCAAAAGGCGUUAGGGUCAUGCCUCUUAACGUCGCUCAAGGAUGGGGCCGCGGCCGAUCAGGCUGUUGGUGAGGCAACGGCUCACCAAACCUAUAACCGGUACGGGCCGUGGGAGCGGGAGCCCGGAGAUGGGAACUGAGACAAGGUCCCAGGCCCUACGGGGCGCAGCAGUUACGAAAACUUGUCACUGCACGAAAGUGCGAACGGGCUACCCCGAGUGCCGUCCGCUGAGGAUGGCUUUUCUCUGCUGUAAGAAGGCGGAGGAAUAAGGAGAGGGCAAGUCUGGUGUCAGCCGCCGCGGUAAUACCAGCUCUCCGAGUGGUGGGGAUGUUUAUUGGGCUUAAAGCGUCCGUAGCUGGCCUUUCAAGUCUCUCGUUAAAUCCAGCGAUUCAAUCGUUGGACUGCGGGAGAUACUGCUAGGCUAGGGGGCGGGAGAAGCCGACGGUAUUUUCGGGGUAGGGGUAAAAUCCUAUAAUCCCGGGAAGACCACCAGUGGCGAAGGCGGUCGGCUAGCACGCGCUCGACGGUGAGGGACGAAAGCUGGGGGAGCGAACCGGAUUAGAUACCCGGGUAGUCCCAGCUGUAAACGAUGCGGGCUAGGUGUUGGAGCGGCUACGAGCCGCUUCAGUGCCGCAGGGAAGCCAUUAAGCUCGCCGCCUGGGGAGUACGGCCGCAAGGCUGAAACUUAAAGGAAUUGGCGGGGGAGCACCACAAGGGGUGAAGCUUGCGGUUUAAUUGGAGUCAACGCCGGGAAUCACUAGU